Molecule: small nucleolar RNA, 119 nt
Organism: Cucurbita moschata (crookneck pumpkin)
Lineage: Eukaryota; Viridiplantae; Streptophyta; Magnoliopsida; Cucurbitales; Cucurbitaceae
Source: RefSeq, a predicted model, not a curated record
GAGUAUCAGAUGUCAUGAUGAUAUAGACAUCACAACAUUGGCAUACUAACGUUUGUGAUUCUCUGAGUCUGUCAAAUCUUCCUUGGUUUUGAUCAUGGCCUCGUACAAGUUGCUAAAUU